AGAGUUUGAUCCUGGCUCAGGAUGAACGCUGGCGGCGUGCUUAACACAUGCAAGUCGAACGAAGCACUUCAAAAGCUUGCUUUUGAAGUGACUGAGUGGCGGACGGGUGAGUAACGCGUGGGUAACCUGCCUUAUACAGGGGGAUAACAGUUGGAAACGACUGCUAAUACCGCAUAAGCGCACAGUGCCGCAUGGCACAGUGUGAAAAACUCCGGUGGUAUAAGAUGGACCCGCGUCUGAUUAGCUAGUUGGUGAGGUAACGGCUCACCAAGGCGACGAUCAGUAGCCGGCUUGAGAGAGUGAUCGGCCACAUUGGGACUGAGACACGGCCCAAACUCCUACGGGAGGCAGCAGUGGGGAAUAUUGCACAAUGGGGGAAACCCUGAUGCAGCAACGCCGCGUGAGUGAAGAAGUAUUUCGGUAUGUAAAGCUCUAUCAGCAGGGAAGAUAAUGACGGUACCUGACUAAGAAGCCCCGGCUAACUACGUGCCAGCAGCCGCGGUAAUACGUAGGGGGCAAGCGUUAUCCGGAUUUACUGGGUGUAAAGGGAGCGUAGGCGGCUUGGCAAGUCUGAUGUGAAAGCCCAGGGCUCACCCCUUGGGACUGCAUUGGAAUCUGUCAAGCUAGAGUGCAGGAGAGGUAAGUGGAAUUCAUUCUGUAGCGGUGAAAUGCGUAGAUAUUAGGAGGAACACCAGUGGGCGAAGGCGGCUUACUGGUCUGUAACUGACGCUGAGGCUUGAAAGUGUGGGGAGCAAACAGGAUUAGAUACCCUGGUAGUCCACACUGUAAACGAUGAUUGCUAGGUGUGGGGGGUCUGACCCCCUCCGUGCCGGAGUUAACGCAAUAAGCAAUCCACCUGGGGAGUACGGCCGCAAGGUUGAAACUCAAAGGAAUUGACGGGGGCCCGCACAAGCAGUGGAUUAUGUGGUUUAAUUCGAAGCAACGCGAAGAACCUUACCAGGUCUUGACAUCCGACUAACGAGAUAGAGAUAUGUCAGGUGCCCUUCGGGGAAAGUCGAGACAGGUGGUGCAUGGUUGUCGUCAGCUCGUGUCGUGAGAUGUUGGGUUAAGUCCCGCAACGAGCGCAACCCCUGCCAUUAGUUGCCAGCAUUCAGUUGGGGACUCUAAUGAGACUGCCAGUGACAAACUGGAGGAAGGUGGGGAUGACGUCAAAUCAUCAUGCCCCUUAUGACCUGGGCCUCACACGUACUACAAUGGCUGCAAACAAAGGGAAGCGAAGCAGUGAUGCGGAGCAAAUCCCCAAAAGCAGUCUUAGUUCGGAUUGUAGGCUGCAACUCGCCUACAUGAAGUCGGAAUUGCUAGUAAUCGUAGAUCAGCAUGCUACGGUGAAUACGUUCCCGGGCCUUGCACACACCGCCCGUCA
Molecule: ribosomal RNA, 1384 nt
Filed under: uncultured bacterium
Lineage: Bacteria
Description: 16S ribosomal RNA
Rfam family: Bacterial small subunit ribosomal RNA
Source: RNAcentral